Molecule: ribosomal RNA, 453 nt
Filed under: Theileria mutans
Lineage: Eukaryota; Apicomplexa; Aconoidasida; Piroplasmida; Theileriidae
Description: SSU rRNA
Rfam family: Eukaryotic small subunit ribosomal RNA
Source: RNAcentral
CGGGGCUCAACGCCUUGUAAUUGGAAUGAUGGGAACCUAAACCCCUUCCAGAGUAUCAAUUGGAGGGCAAGUCUGGUGCCAGCAGCCGCGGUAAUUCCAGCUCCAAUAGCGUAUAUUAAAAUUGUUGCAGUUAAAAAGCUCGUAGUUGAAUUUCUGCCGCAUCGCGGCGGCCCUCCCGGGCCCAGCGUUGCGGCUUAUUUCGGACUCGCUUGCGUCUCCGAAUGUUUACUUUGAGAAAAUUAGAGUGCUCAAAGCAGGCCCUUGCCUUGAAUACUUUAGCAUGGAAUAAUAAAGUAGGACUUUGGUUCUAUUUUGUUGGUUUAGCGCCAAAGUAAUGGUUAAUAGGAACAGUUGGGGGCAUUCGUAUUUAACUGUCAGAGGUGAAAUUCUUAGAUUUGUUAAAGACGAACCACUGCGAAAGCAUUUGCCAAGGAUGUUUUCAUUAAUCAAGAA